AAAAUGAGUUGGGGUACGGGAUGCUGCUGCGAUAAAGAAAUGUUUAUUAGGCGAUUAUCCUUUGCCUUAAACGAAAGAAGCAGCUAUUAGGUGGUACAGACUAAGCGGCCUUGGGGUAAUGGUGAUUUCUUCACUGCAGCUCCUUGAAGAGUACUUCGGAUGAAUACCGAAUGGUGACUGGACUGCUAGCUGUCUUCCGCAGUCUUCCCCCAGCAGUGGAGUCGGAGGGGAGCAGACCUUGUUGCUGCGAGCAUGCCGGACCAAAUCAUACCGCAUCUAUGUUGACCCACUUUGGACUCAGACUGGGAAAGCAAAUCAAUUCGUCAUUUCCUUAUUUUCCACUUGUUACAGGAUGUUGAAGGAGCAUGCUUGUCUGUGUGAUAUCGAACAUGACCCCCAGAAGAUCUGAGAUGUGGACAUGCUGUAAGUCAUGCUCAUCUGCUAGCAAAUUCUUCAUGGAAUUACAUGACCACCUCAACCAGUUUUUAGCAUGAAGUUUAAGCUGUGACAGUGCAGAUGGUAACUGAUGAAAUGAGUUAAUAAGCAACAGUUUAGAGAAGUUUUUUUUGGUAGUGUCCCAGCUCUGUAGAUAGUCUUAUAAGCAUGAAAAUUACUCCUGCUACAGCUGUCUGUUGAGAAGCUGUGGAGUUCAUGUUGGAGGUCCUUCCUGGGCUGCAUCACCCACCGAGUCAGGGUCUUGAAUCGGUGUCGCGCGAGGGCAGCAGUGUGGCGUGCGGGAAGACGGAGGGAGGUGGAAGCGCCUGUGCUCAGACCAAAGCCGGUUCCUAGCGUGGUAGUCAGAUGUGCUGUUUGGCAUGAAUUUGCCUGUGGAUGCAACGAACAGUGUUGACUGUGCAGGGGAAGGAAGCGAAGGCUUUCUGUGUUUUGAAGAGCGAGGCAUGUAUUAUCGUGCAAUCAGGUAUGUUCCUGAUGCAGUGUUUAGGUGAUAUUCCCAGAGCUGCUCUUAACAGUCAUUCAGGACAAGGGCAAUAAUUCAGUUGGAUGCAGCAUUUCUUUACCAGUCACAAUUUCCUUGUGAAUGUCAUAUAUUUUGUAAGAGUAAAUGCACUAUGCCUAUUGUUGGCUCUAAAAAUCAUUAAAUUUAGUGCUGUGGUUUCUACAUUAGCAACAUUUUAAUUUUUUUUUUUUUAACAGCAUAGUGGUUUAAGUGAGGUGGUU
RNAcentral lists this long non-coding RNA (1179 nucleotides) under Apteryx owenii (little spotted kiwi). Its description in RNAcentral is "lncRNA (ENSAOWG00000006102.1)". The record is from RNAcentral. Lineage: Eukaryota; Metazoa; Chordata; Aves; Apterygiformes; Apterygidae.